CGAGAUCCGGAAGUGGCGCUCCGGGGAGAAGGUGGCUGCGGCUGCUGGGGCCGCUGCGCCGGCGGCGGUUCCCGAUGUGGAGGUCCGUCUUGGGUGGGGAGGCACCCAGGUCGCUGGUUCGAUGCAGAGGAAGAAACCACACCUAGCACGUAAAGCCCUGAAAAAAUAGAGGUGUACAGUAGAGUUUUCCAGAGGCUACAUGACAUGCAGUAUCACAACGGAAGCAAAUAUAAGAACCCACCUGUCUCCUGUUAAAAUGCAAAAUGUAAAACAAUACCACUUUGCUAACUGUUUUUGUUUGGGGAAAUAUAGUUCAUAAAAAUAUUUAUGUUAACAUGUAAUUUAGGUUAAAAUAAAUUAAUAAAUAUUUGUAAAUUG
Molecule: long non-coding RNA, 378 nt
Filed under: Homo sapiens (human)
Lineage: Eukaryota; Metazoa; Chordata; Mammalia; Primates; Hominidae
Description: HSALNT0348642
Source: RNAcentral